This 254-nucleotide ribosomal RNA is filed under the name uncultured bacterium. RNAcentral's name for it is "partial 16S ribosomal RNA". It matches the Rfam family "Bacterial small subunit ribosomal RNA", at positions 524 to 776 of the family's 1533-position model. The record is from RNAcentral.
CACGUAGGGGUCAAGCGUUGUCCGGAUUUAUUGGGCGUAAAGAGCUCGUAGGCGGUUGGGUAAGUCGGGUGUGAAAACUCCAGGCUCAACUUGGAGACGCCACCCGAUACUGCUCUGACUUGAGUUCGGUAGGGGAGUGGGGAAUUCCCGGUGUAGUGGUGAAAUGCGUAGAUAUCGGGAGGAACACCAGUGGCGAAGGCGACUACCUGGCCUGUUCUUGACGCUGAGGCGCGAAAGCUAGGGGAGCAAACGGG